UGGCUCUUCAUUGACAGGCCUGUUUGCUGCUGUGGUGUGGCAGUUGGCAGGGCAGCUGCAGAAGGCCCUGGAUCUCUGUGUAAAGGUGGACGCCUUGGAGAACCGAGUCAGCGCUCUCCAGGAUGACCUGUGGAGAAGGGAGGCUGCGACCAAGGAGGAAGAACGGAGAGCUGCUCGACUGCAGCAGGAACGAGAUGCUCUGAUGGCGCAGCACCUCCAGCCAAGGAAGCAGUCCAUCACCACCACGACAUACGAACGCAGGAGCAUCGUCUUCUUGCAUCUCUUUUGCCUGCCUCUGUGUCUCAGCACAAGGUCCAGCAGGGGGCGCUGACUGAGCUGCGCGGGAAGCUGCAGCGCUCCCAGGCGGAGGCAAGGGUGCAGGAGGAGCGUGUGAAAGAGGAGAUGCGGGGACUGCGUGCCGAGUUCCUGGAGGCUGCGGCGCGUCUCCCCAGUACCGCAGCAGGGCAGAGACGCUCUGCACGGGCCUCUGAGAAGGAGAGCAGGUGGCUGCGCACCGUGGAUGUGGAGCUGAGCUGCAUGCCUAAGGCCCCGCAGAAAGUCCAGGCCCUCGCCGCAGAUGCAGAGGGACGCCUGGAGCCGCUGGCUGAGUCUCUGAACGUUUACAAGUAG
This 630-nucleotide long non-coding RNA is filed under the name Scleropages formosus (Asian bonytongue). RNAcentral's name for it is "lncRNA (ENSSFOG00015029653.1)". The record is from RNAcentral. Lineage: Eukaryota; Metazoa; Chordata; Actinopteri; Osteoglossiformes; Osteoglossidae.